Molecule: ribosomal RNA, 1494 nt
Filed under: Pantoea agglomerans
Lineage: Bacteria; Pseudomonadati; Pseudomonadota; Gammaproteobacteria; Enterobacterales; Erwiniaceae
Description: 16S ribosomal RNA
Rfam family: Bacterial small subunit ribosomal RNA
Source: RNAcentral
AUUGAACGCUGGCGGCAGGCCUAACACAUGCAAGUCGAACGGCAGCACAGAAGAGCUUGCUCUUUGGGUGGCGAGUGGCGGACGGGUGAGUAAUGUCUGGGAAACUGCCCGAUGGAGGGGGAUAACUACUGGAAACGGUAGCUAAUACCGCAUAACGUCGCAAGACCAAAGUGGGGGACCUUCGGGCCUCACACCAUCGGAUGUGCCCAGAUGGGAUUAGCUAGUAGGUGGGGUAAUGGCUCACCUAGGCGACGAUCCCUAGCUGGUCUGAGAGGAUGACCAGCCACACUGGAACUGAGACACGGUCCAGACUCCUACGGGAGGCAGCAGUGGGGAAUAUUGCACAAUGGGCGCAAGCCUGAUGCAGCCAUGCCGCGUGUAUGAAGAAGGCCUUCGGGUUGUAAAGUACUUUCAGCGGGGAGGAAGGCGGUGAGGUUAAUAACCUCGCCGAUUGACGUUACCCGCAGAAGAAGCACCGGCUAACUCCGUGCCAGCAGCCGCGGUAAUACGGAGGGUGCAAGCGUUAAUCGGAAUUACUGGGCGUAAAGCGCACGCAGGCGGUCUGUUAAGUCAGAUGUGAAAUCCCCGGGCUUAACCUGGGAACUGCAUUUGAAACUGGCAGGCUUGAGUCUCGUAGAGGGGGGUAGAAUUCCAGGUGUAGCGGUGAAAUGCGUAGAGAUCUGGAGGAAUACCGGUGGCGAAGGCGGCCCCCUGGACGAAGACUGACGCUCAGGUGCGAAAGCGUGGGGAGCAAACGAGGAUUAGAUACCCUGGUAGUCCACGCCGUAAACGAUGUCGACUUGGGAGGUUGUGCCCUUGAGGCGUGGCUUCCGGAGCUAACGCGUUAAGUCGACCGCCUGGGGAGUACGGCCGCAAGGUUAAAACUCAAAUGAAUUGACGGGGGCCCGCACAAGCGGUGGAGCAUGUGGUUUAAUUCGAUGCAACGCGAAGAACCUUACCUGGCCUUGACAUCCAGAGAACUUAGCAGAGAUGCUUUGGUGCCUUCGGGAACUCUGAGACAGGUGCUGCAUGGCUGUCGUCAGCUCGUGUUGUGAAAUGUUGGGUUAAGUCCCGCAACGAGCGCAACCCUUAUCCUUUGUUGCCAGCGGUUCGGCCGGGAACUCAAAGGAGACUGCCGGUGAUAAACCGGAGGAAGGUGGGGAUGACGUCAAGUCAUCAUGGCCCUUACGGCCAGGGCUACACACGUGCUACAAUGGCGCAUACAAAGAGAAGCGACCUCGCGAGAGCAAGCGGACCUCAUAAAGUGCGUCGUAGUCCGGAUUGGAGUCUGCAACUCGACUCCAUGAAGUCGGAAUCGCUAGUAAUCGUAGAUCAGAAUGCUACGGUGAAUACGUUCCCGGGCCUUGUACACACCGCCCGUCACACCAUGGGAGUGGGUUGCAAAAGAAGUAGGUAGCUUAACCUUCGGGAGGGCGCUUACCACUUUGUGAUUCAUGACUGGGGUGAAGUCGUAACAAGGUAACCGUAGGGGAA